RNAcentral lists this ribosomal RNA (507 nucleotides) under uncultured bacterium. Its description in RNAcentral is "bacterial SSU rRNA". It matches the Rfam family "Bacterial small subunit ribosomal RNA", at positions 791 to 1297 of the family's 1533-position model. The record is from RNAcentral.
UAGUCCACGCCGUAAACGAUGUCUACUAGCCGUUGGAGGGCUUGACCCUUUAGUGGCGAAGCUAACGCGAUAAGUAGACCGCCUGGGGAGUACGGUCGCAAGAUUAAAACUCAAAUGAAUUGACGGGGGCCCGCACAAGCGGUGGAGCAUGUGGUUUAAUUCGAUGCAAUGCGAAAAACCUUACCAGGCCUUGACAUCCUGAGAAUUCGGUAGAGAUACCUUAGUGCCUUCGGGAACUCAGUGACAGGUGUUGCAUGGCUGUCGUCAGCUCGUGUCGUGAGAUGUUGGGUUAAGUCCCGUAACGAGCGCAACCCUUAUCCUUAUUUGCCAGCACGUAAUGGUGGGAACUCUAAGGAGACUGCCGGUGACAAACCGGAGGAAGGAGAGGAUGACGUCAAGUCAUCAUGGCCCUUACGGCCUGGGCUACACACGUGCUACAAUGGGCAGUACAGAGGGCCGCGAAGCCGCGAGGUGGAGCAAAUCCCGAAAAACUGUUCGUAGUCCGGA